UACAUAGGGAGCGAGCGUUAUCCGGAAUUAUUGGGUGUAAAGGUGCGUAGACGGGAAUUUAAGUUAGUUGUGAAAUCCCUCGGCUCAACUGAGGAACUGCAACUAAAACUGGAUUUCUUGAGUGCGGGAGAGGAAAGUGGAAUUCCUAGUGUAGCGGUAAAAUGCGUAGAUAUUAGGAGGAACACCAGUGGCGAAGGCGACUUUCUGGACCGUAACUGACGUUGAGGCACGAAAGUGUGGGGAGCAAACA
Molecule: ribosomal RNA, 250 nt
Filed under: uncultured prokaryote
Description: partial 16S ribosomal RNA
Rfam family: Bacterial small subunit ribosomal RNA
Source: RNAcentral